RNAcentral lists this ribosomal RNA (406 nucleotides) under uncultured bacterium. RNAcentral describes it as "partial 16S ribosomal RNA". It matches the Rfam family "Bacterial small subunit ribosomal RNA", at positions 28 to 526 of the family's 1533-position model. The record is from RNAcentral.
GAUGCACGCUAGCUACAGGCUUAACACAUGCAAGUCGAGGGACCGGCGCACGGGUGAGUAACACGUAUCCAACCUGCCCUUUACUCGGGGAUAGCCUUUCGAAAGAAAGAUUAAUACCCGAUAUAAAGGAUGGGGAUGCGUUCCAUUAGGUUGUUGGUGAGGUAACGGCCCACCAAGCCUUCGAUGGGUAGGGGUUCUGAGAGGAAGGGACCCCACAGUUGAAACGGGAACACGUUCAAAAUACUACGGGAGGCAGCAGGGAGGAAGAGUGGGAAAAGGGCGGUAGCCUGAACCAGCCAAGUAAGCGGAAGGAUGAAGGUGCAUUGGUCGUAAACUUCUUUUAUAUAAGAAUAUGUAUUAUAUGAAUAAGGAUCGGCUAACUCCGUGCCAGCAGCCGCGGUAAUUC